AGUGAACGCUGGCGGUAGGCCUAACACAUGCAAGUCGAACGGCAGCACAGUAAGAGCUUGCUCUUACGGGUGGCGAGUGGCGGACGGGUGAGGAAUACAUCGGAAUCUACUUUUUCGAGGGGGAUAACGUAGGGAAACUUACGCUAAUACCGCAUACGACCUACGGGUGAAAGCAGGGGAUCUUCGGACCUUGCGCGAUUGAAUGAGCCGAUGUCGGAUUAGCUAGUUGGCGGGGUAAAGGCCCACCAAGGCGACGAUCCGUAGCUGGUCUGAGAGGAUGAUCAGCCACACUGGAACUGAGACACGGUCCAGACUCCUACGGGAGGCAUCAGUGGGGAAUAUUGGACAAUGGGCGCAAGCCUGAUCCAGCCAUACCGCGUGGGUGAAGAAGGCCUUCGGGUUGUAAAGCCCUUUUGUUGGGAAAGAAAAGCAGCAGGUUAAUACCCCGCUGUUCUGACGGUACCCAAAGAAUAAGCACCGGCUAACUUCGUG
RNAcentral lists this ribosomal RNA (492 nucleotides) under uncultured bacterium. Its description in RNAcentral is "partial 16S ribosomal RNA". It matches the Rfam family "Bacterial small subunit ribosomal RNA", at positions 29 to 507 of the family's 1533-position model. The record is from RNAcentral.